UGGGAGCUUGCUCCCUGAUGUUAGCGGCGGACGGGUGAGUAACACGUGGGUAACCUGCCUGUAAGACUGGGAUAACUCCGGGAAACCGGGGCUAAUACCGGAUGGUUGUUUGAACCGCAUGGUUCAGACAUAAAAGGUGGCUUCGGCUACCACUUACAGAUGGACCCGCGGCGCAUUAGCUAGUUGGUGAGGUAACGGCUCACCAAGGCGACGAUGCGUAGCCGACCUGAGAGGGUGAUCGGCCACACUGGGACUGAGACACGGCCCAGACUCCUACGGGAGGCAGCAGUAGGGAAUCUUCCGCAAUGGACGAAAGUCUGACGGAGCAACGCCGCGUGAGUGAUGAAGGUUUUCGGAUCGUAAAGCUCUGUUGUUAGGGAAGAACAAGUGCCGUUCAAAUAGGGCGGCACCUUGACGGUACCUAACCAGAAAGCCACGGCUAACUACGUGCCAGCAGCCGCGGUAAUACGUAGGUGGCAAGCGUUGUCCGGAAUUAUUGGGCGUAAAGGGCUCGCAGGCGGUUUCUUAAGUCUGAUGUGAAAGCCCCCGGCUCAACCGGGGGAGGGUCAUUGGAAACUGGGGAACUUGAGUGCAGAAGAGGAGAGUGGAAUUCCACGUGUAGCGGUGAAAUGCGUAGAGAUGUGGAGGAACACCAGUGGCGAAGGCGACUCUCUGGUCUGUAACUGACGCUGAGGAGCGAAAGCGUGGGGAGCGAACACGAUUAGAUACGCUGGUAGUCCACGCCGUAAACGAUGAGUGC
This 760-nucleotide ribosomal RNA is filed under the name Bacillus siamensis. RNAcentral describes it as "bacterial SSU rRNA". It matches the Rfam family "Bacterial small subunit ribosomal RNA", at positions 73 to 816 of the family's 1533-position model. Lineage: Bacteria; Bacillati; Bacillota; Bacilli; Caryophanales; Bacillaceae. The record is from RNAcentral.